CCUACGGGAGGCAGCAGUGAGGAAUAUUGGUCAAUGGACGCAAGUCUGAACCAGCCAUGCCGCGUGCAGGAAGACGGCUCUAUGAGUUGUAAACUGCUUUUGUACGAGGGUAAACGCAGAUACGCGUAUCUGUCUGACAGUAUCGUACGAAUAAGGAUCGGCUAACUCCGUGCCAGCAGCCGCGGUAAUACGGAGGAUUCAAGCGUUAUCCGGAUUUAUUGGGUUUAAAGGGUGCGUAGGCGGUCGGAUAAGUUAGAGGUGAAAUCCCGGGGCUCAACUUCGGAAUUGCCGCUGAUACUGUUCGGCUAGAGAGAAGGUGAGGUAGGCGGAAUGUAUGGUGUAGCGGUGAAAUGCUUAGAGAUCAUACAGAACACCGAUUGCGAAGGCAGCAUACCAAGCUACUUCUGACGUUGAGGCACGAAAGCGUGGGGAGCAAACAGGAUUAGAUACCCUGGUAGUC
This 460-nucleotide ribosomal RNA is filed under the name uncultured bacterium. RNAcentral's name for it is "partial 16S ribosomal RNA". It matches the Rfam family "Bacterial small subunit ribosomal RNA", at positions 338 to 795 of the family's 1533-position model. The record is from RNAcentral.